This 497-nucleotide ribosomal RNA is filed under the name uncultured bacterium. RNAcentral's name for it is "partial 16S ribosomal RNA". It matches the Rfam family "Bacterial small subunit ribosomal RNA", at positions 28 to 507 of the family's 1533-position model. The record is from RNAcentral.
GAUGAACGCUGGCGGCGUGCCUAAUACAUGCAAGUCGAGCGAACAGACGAGGAGCUUGCUCCUCUGACGUUAGCGGCGGACGGGUGAGUAACACGUGGAUAACCUACCUAUAAGACUGGGAUAACUUCGGGAAACCGGAGCUAAUACCGGAUAAUAUAUUGAACCGCAUGGUUCAAUAGUGAAAGACGGUUUUGCUGUCACUUAUAGAUGGAUCCGCGCCGCAUUAGCUAGUUGGUAAGGUAACGGCUUACCAAGGCAACGAUGCGUAACCGACCUGAAAGGGUGGUCGGCCACACUGGAACUGAGACACGGUCCAGACUCCUACGGGGGGAAGCAGUAGGGAAUCUUCCGCGAGGGGGGAAAGCCUGACGGAGCAACGCCGCGGGAGUGAUGAAGGUCUUCGGAUCGUAAAACUCUGUUGUUAGGAAGGAACAAAUGUGUAAGUAACUAUGCACAUCUUGACGGUACCUAAUCAGAAAGCCACGGCUAACUACGUG